This 18-nucleotide small nuclear RNA is filed under the name Arabidopsis thaliana (thale cress). RNAcentral's name for it is "snRNA_13249". The record is from RNAcentral. Lineage: Eukaryota; Viridiplantae; Streptophyta; Magnoliopsida; Brassicales; Brassicaceae.
AAAACUAUACAUUAAAGC